GGGAACUCUGACACAGGUGCUGCAUGGCUGUCGUCAGCUCGUGUCGUGAGAUGUUGGGUUAAGUCCCGUAACGAGCGCAACCCUUGUCCUUAGUUACCAGCACGUUAUGGUGGGCACUCUAAGGAGACUGCCGGUGACGAAACCGGAGGAAGGUGGGAUGACGUCAAGUCAUCAUGGCCCUUACGGCCUGGGCUACACACGUGCUACAAUGGUCGGUACAAAGGGUUGCCAAGCCGCGAGGUGGAGCUAAUCCCAUAAACCGAUCGUAGUCCGGAUCGCAGUCUGCAACUCGACUGCGUGAAGUCGGAAUCGCUAGUAAUCGUGAAUCAGAAUGUCACGGUGAAUACGUUCCCGGGCCUU
This 360-nucleotide ribosomal RNA is filed under the name uncultured Pseudomonas sp. Its description in RNAcentral is "bacterial SSU rRNA". It matches the Rfam family "Bacterial small subunit ribosomal RNA", at positions 1022 to 1382 of the family's 1533-position model. The record is from RNAcentral. Lineage: Bacteria; Pseudomonadati; Pseudomonadota; Gammaproteobacteria; Pseudomonadales; Pseudomonadaceae.